ACAAUUUUUUUGUUGUAUGAAAUAUUUUCAAGUAGAGAAGUUAAGGAAGAUGCUUUGUAUUGUGAUGAGUUUUUAUAUUGUUAAUUUCUAGUGAUGGUUUUGUUGUUUUCUGGUGUUAGUGAAUGGAAAUGGGAGAAUAUUUAUUGAAAGCAUACACUGAUAAUGAUCUUGUUUGAAGUGCUGAUCAUAAUGUUGAUGUACAUUUAGAGUAAUUAAAUAAUUUUUAUGGGUCAGUGACAUGAAUGCAUAGGAUAUGGAUAUGUGGUGGUUUGAAACGAGGAGUGACACAGUGGUGAGCAUUGAUUUAGUGAAUGUGUGAUUAUUAAUACAACUAGUUUGUUUGUUACUGUGUGAACAACAGAUAACGAACGCUGGAUUACAGUAACUGUGUUUUAGCAUUAAAUUUGUAAAUAGUUUAUGUUGUUUAAUGAGCAUGUAUGUAUAUAUACAUACUAGUAAGGUAUGAGGUGUUGCUGUUUAUUGCACCAAUAACAAACACUGUGCUUUUAUUGGACAGACUGGCAAAACUGCAAUUCAAGUAGGAGAAGAAAGUCUGCAGUCAGAGUGGGGCAGUCGCAAAGAAACUCGUUCUGCUAUCCUUUCCCAUUUGAAGGAAUUCAUCGAGGAAAGUGCUGUUGCAGCUGUAAAUCCAUCACCAGAUGUUGUAGAAAGUGCAAACAUUGAUGUUCAACUUCCCAGUGCUAUUGAUCGUCUGGGUCCAUCUGUGAAAUCUGAUUACGAAAAUGCUUUGAAAAAGGGAGAGUUACCAAUACUACGAGGAAACAUCGAUAUGUUUGGUGAAGAAGAUGCCGGCAAGUCUUCUCUUGGAGAUUCUUAUUUGGACGAGCCAUUUAUUGAUAAGAGGGAAAGCACGAGAGGAGCGCACGUGAAAGUGAUGAGAAUUGGA
Molecule: long non-coding RNA, 907 nt
Organism: Corticium candelabrum
Lineage: Eukaryota; Metazoa; Porifera; Homoscleromorpha; Homosclerophorida; Plakinidae
Exons: 3
Source: RefSeq, a predicted model, not a curated record